This 141-nucleotide ribosomal RNA is filed under the name uncultured bacterium. RNAcentral describes it as "partial 16S ribosomal RNA". It matches the Rfam family "Bacterial small subunit ribosomal RNA", at positions 354 to 509 of the family's 1533-position model. The record is from RNAcentral.
GUGGGGAAUAUUGGGCAAUGGGCGCAAGCCUGACCCAGCAACGCCGCGUGAAGGAAGAAGGCUUUCGGGUUGUAAACUUCUUUUAUUGAGGACGAAACAAAUGACGGUACUCGAUGAAUAAGCCACGGCUAACUACGUGCC